AUCCAGCUGACGAGUCCCAAGUAGGACGUCCUGGAU
RNAcentral lists this non-coding RNA (36 nucleotides) under Schistosoma mansoni. Lineage: Eukaryota; Metazoa; Platyhelminthes; Trematoda; Strigeidida; Schistosomatidae. The record is from RNAcentral.